Molecule: RNA transcript, 1682 nt
Organism: Gossypium arboreum
Lineage: Eukaryota; Viridiplantae; Streptophyta; Magnoliopsida; Malvales; Malvaceae
Gene name: probable mediator of RNA polymerase II transcription subunit 26c
Exons: 9
Source: RefSeq, a predicted model, not a curated record
CCAAUAACCAGAAGCCAGUGUGGUUACAUUUCAAAGGAAGAUUUCUCAUUCCCUCUGAUUGUUCAUCUCCCAAAUCACAACAAGCCAAAAAUAUCUGAACAGAAAGUGUUGAAAUACCAGAGAUAUCCAUUUCAACUUUCUCAAUCACAACCAAAAAAACCCAAAAAUAUUAUCUCCUUUUAUAACAUGUACAAGAUGAAAUAAAAGAAAUUAAGCUCCAUUUUUGGGUAUAAUUCUACCCAAAAAAAAAAAAAAACACAAAUAUUCCAAUUUCAUUAACAAAAUUAGAAGUUUCAAAACUUUCUUCAUUAAGCCAACACAAUAACCAAAACCCAUUUCAUCUUUGACUUCAAAGAUUAUUAUUAUUAUUAUUUUUUGUUUCAGCUGGAAUUUUGCAAAAUUCAAGCCCUGGGUCAUUUUGUUUUUAUAUCAGAUCUGUUUAUGUUGAAGCUUCAAUCGGAUCAUUAGUUUAUUUUUAUUGGAUGGUAAUGGAUUUGGAUGAUUUCAGAUCGGUUCUCGAAACAGCAGGUGUUGAUGUGUGGACAUUUAUUGAUACAGCAAUCCUGGCAGCUUCUUUAGAUUAUGGUGAAGAGUUGAAGCAAAGGAGAGAUGGGAUUGUGGAGAGGCUUUAUGCUACUUCCAUGGUUAAUGGAUGUAAAACCUGUGAUUUUGGUGAGAGAUCAAAUGGAUAUUCAGUUAAUAAAGAAGGCAACCUCCAUGAAAGUAAAGGUGGGGAAGGACGAAAAGGGUCUCCUUUUAAACCUCAAUCCGACAAUGAAGAUGAUGAUGUGGACCCUUGUGGAGGCGUGUUUGAUGUUGAACAAAAAAGGGUCCUUGAAAUUAAGGACCUUCUUGAAGUACCUGAUCAGUCUGAAGAUUCUUUGGUCGAUUUGCUUCAAAGCUUGGCGGAUAUGGAUAUAACAUUUCAAGCUCUCAAGGAAACUGAUAUUGGGAGACAUGUGAACAAAUUCAGAAAGCAUUCAUCAAAUGAUGUUAGGAGAUUAGUGAAGCAACUUGUCAGGAAAUGGAAAGAUAUUGUAGAUAAAUGGGUAAUGGUGAAUCAGCCGGGAGAACAUGAACCUGCUGCACUUAUGGAUAGAGAUUCACCACAGCAAAAGCUUCCUCAAAAUGGUGGUCAACAGGUUCCUGAUGAUGUCUACUCUCCAAACCUGCAUAAUGGGAGUCUUGGUUUAAACAAGAAUAAUUCAGAACCUGAAAGGAAGUUAAAGUCAAUCCCUCAUCGAAAAGAUCCUCCAAUUAGACAUACUCACUCAACUCCUCCACAAAAUGUGCAGGACUUUGUAGAGACAGAGAGAAGAAAAGGAAAGCAAAUUUGACUCUGACAGGCUGGCUUCUGCAAGGAAAAGGCUUCAAGAAAGUUAUAAAGAAGCUGAAAAUGCCAAAAGGCAAAGAACAGUACAAGUGAUGGACAUUAAUGAGCUACCAAAACCCAAGAACGGUUUCUUUGCAAAAAACAAAGGAAGUGGCUCUCAAGGGAGGCACUGGUGAUUUGGGUCAUUGAAUUUGGCUUUAAAGGCAUCACAUUUUUGUGUUUUUCUUUCUUCUUCUUCGUGUUUUUCGUUUUCUUUUUGAUCAUUGUAUUAGAAUAGGGGCCACUCUUUAUAACUAUUAUAGGUUACCUUUCUAUGAUAAUGGUGAUUGGGUGAAUAAUUUGGCUUAAA